RNAcentral lists this ribosomal RNA (156 nucleotides) under uncultured bacterium. Its description in RNAcentral is "partial 16S ribosomal RNA". It matches the Rfam family "Bacterial small subunit ribosomal RNA", at positions 1345 to 1500 of the family's 1533-position model. The record is from RNAcentral.
CGGAUCAGCAUGCCGCGGUGAAUACGUUCCCGGGCCUUGUACACACCGCCCGUCACACCAUGAGAGUCGGGAACACCCGAAGUCCGUAGCCUAACCGCGAAGGGGGCGCGGCCGAAGGUGGGUUCGAUAAUUGGGGUGAAGUCGUAACAAGGUAUC